UACGGAGGGUGCGAGCGUUAUUCGGAAUUAUUGGGCGUAAAGAGCGCGUAGGCGGCCUUACAAGUCAGGUGUGAAAUCCCGGGGCUCAACCCCGGAAGCGCAUUUGAUACUGUAGGGCUUGAGUAUGGGAGAGGGAAGUGGAAUUCCUGGUGUAGCGGUGAAAUGCGUAGAUAUCAGGAGGAACACCGGUGGCGAAGGCGGCUUCCUGGACCAAUACUGACGCUGAGGCGCGAAGGCGUGGGGAGCAAACAGG
RNAcentral lists this ribosomal RNA (253 nucleotides) under uncultured bacterium. RNAcentral describes it as "partial 16S ribosomal RNA". It matches the Rfam family "Bacterial small subunit ribosomal RNA", at positions 524 to 776 of the family's 1533-position model. The record is from RNAcentral.